RNAcentral lists this long non-coding RNA (1378 nucleotides) under Homo sapiens (human). RNAcentral's name for it is "HSALNT0120581". Lineage: Eukaryota; Metazoa; Chordata; Mammalia; Primates; Hominidae. The record is from RNAcentral.
GUAGGAACUUCGCGUUCCCACCCUCCAGGGGAGGAGAUUGGAUCAGGCGCCAGCCUUGAGGUGUCUGAUUGGAGAAAAGCUGUGCAGUGCCGCUCCCCCGACCGACUCCUUGAGAAGAAACGGCGGAGACCUGAGACCCGGAGGCUGAGGCUGUAGGUGGGCUCCGCUGGGUAAAAGUUGCCGCAGCAGCUGUCCCUUGGCCCCAUCGCGAUUUAUUUUUCCCCCUUGCUUUCCGGGUCCCGGGAUCCCAAGUUUGUAACUAACGGGAGCGAAUCCACACCCGAGCAAAAUGUUUGCGAGUUUCAGGCGCCCUUAGUUGAAAGGCUGUAAUUAACAAGUCCGCUGUUUGCCAGCCAGGCGCCGUUGCAGGCGCUUUCUGUGGAUUGUCAUUUAUUUCUCACAGCAACCCUAGGAGAUGAAAUUGAAUCAUGGAAGAAUGCCUUUAUCUGAGGAGUCAUCACCACUAGGGAGCUAUGGAGGCUGUUAUCCUUGACAUCUGCAGCAGCCCUUCCAAGCUGUGGAGACCAGGUCAUCUGGAAUGCCCAUUUAUGUCAAUGGAAGAAAGAAAAAGGGGUCUCCUCCCAUCCUCACCACUGCAUUCUCCCACCAACCCUGCUCCUGUCCCACUUCCCACAACUCAGUUGUUGACAAUUUAACAGUGGGUUUCUGGAAACAGUGCUGCCUCCUUGAUGGUCUAACUAACUACCAGAGUUAUUCUAACAGCAGGAAUUUCAAGCCAGCAAACCAGACAUACAUAGGAGGCACAGCAAAAGACCCAAGGUGAGGGGCUUCCCUCACCUUCACCCUUGUUCUCACGUGGAGGUGGCGCAUGUCUAUGAGACACAGUACCCCACUCAGCGAUCCUCUGCAGUCCAGGAAAUUCUAGCACUUGCUUGGAAAACAAAUCAAGUGCCUGUUGGCUUUUUGUGAGCUGCCUAUGGAGAAAUGCACAUGGCAAGGAACUGAGGGUUGCCUCCAGCAAACUGCUGGUGAGGGAGUGAGGCCUUCAGUCCAACAGCCUUUAAGGAACUGAAUCCUGCCAACAACCAUGUGAGUGGGCUUGGAGAUGGAUGCUACCACCAUCAAGCCUUCAGGAGUGAAUUUUUUUGUUCUUGAGACAGCGUCUCAUUCUGUUGCCCAGGAUGGAGUACAGUGGUGCCAUCUUCGCUCACUGCAGCCUUCGUCUCCCGGGUUCAAGCAAUUCUCCUGUCUCAGCCUCCCAAGUAGCUGGGAUUACAGACCCAUCAAGCCUUCAGAUAAGACUGCAGCCUCAUUACAGACCUUGAACUGGAGGCAGCCAGCUGAGUCACACCUGGAUUCCUGACCCUUAGAAACUAUGAGAUAAUAAAUGUUUACAGUUUUAAGCCACUAAGUUUCG